RNAcentral lists this transfer RNA (93 nucleotides) under Polymorphospora rubra. RNAcentral's name for it is "tRNA-Arg". The record is from RNAcentral. Lineage: Bacteria; Bacillati; Actinomycetota; Actinomycetes; Micromonosporales; Micromonosporaceae.
CGAGGCCGUAGCGGGAGGUGCCGCCGUACGUCGGCUUCGCCCCGACGGUGCCGGUCACCGCGCCCGGCUGGCGGAUCGACCCACCGGUGUCGG